GGAGAGAUGCCGGAGUGGCCGAACGGGCACGCUUGGAAAGCGUGUGUACGGGAAACUGUACCCAGGGUUCGAAUCCCUGUCUCUCCGCCA
RNAcentral lists this transfer RNA (90 nucleotides) under Planctomycetota bacterium. RNAcentral describes it as "tRNA-Ser". It matches the Rfam family "tRNA". From Rfam's summary of the family: Transfer RNA (tRNA) molecules are approximately 80 nucleotides in length. Their secondary structure includes four short double-helical elements and three loops (D, anti-codon, and T loops). Further hydrogen bonds mediate the characteristic L-shaped molecular structure. tRNAs have two regions of fundamental functional importance: the anti-codon, which is responsible for specific mRNA codon recognition, and the 3' end, to which the tRNAs corresponding amino acid is attached (by aminoacyl-tRNA synthetases). tRNAs cope with the degeneracy of the genetic code in two manners: having more than one tRNA (with a specific anti-codon) for a particular amino acid; and 'wobble' base-pairing, i.e. permitting non-standard base-pairing at the 3rd anti-codon position. Lineage: Bacteria; Pseudomonadati; Planctomycetota. The record is from RNAcentral.